UGGACACAGACUCCCCUCCCCCCAUCUUCUUUUUUUUUCUCCCCGGAGGCCGGCCAUCUCUAAGCCAUCAUCCACUCCCCUCUUUCGGCCAUUCCUUCUUCCCAGCUCUCGCCGCCGAACACGGCGACGCCGCCUCCAACAAGCUACACGCCGGACAGAAGCCAGAGCAGUUCCCCCUCGCUCUCCCAUCGCGCCGGUUGCAUCACCAUCUUCCCCGACCUCUCCUCUCCGUCCAGCCUCUGACAGCAACAACGACCACAGCAGCGACCCCAACAGCGCCGCCCGAAGUAGAGGCUGACCCGGGGCAAAGUCGAUCUGAAGAAGGGCGAACCGAUCUGCAGAGAAUCAGAUCAAAGAGAAGCAGAUCUGUAACGGA
This 376-nucleotide long non-coding RNA is filed under the name Populus tremula. RNAcentral's name for it is "long non-coding RNA (PTRE_LNC003243)". The record is from RNAcentral. Lineage: Eukaryota; Viridiplantae; Streptophyta; Magnoliopsida; Malpighiales; Salicaceae.